GACCAGACUCCUACGGGAGGCAGCAGUGGGGGAUAUUGGACAAUGGGGGAAACCCUGAUGCAGCGACGCCGCGUGAGUGAAGAAGUAUUUCGGUAUGUAAAGCUCUAUCAGCAGGGAAGAUAAUGACGGUACCUGACUAAGAAGCCCCGGCUAACUACGUGCCAGCAGCCGCGGUAAUACGUAGGGGGCAAGCGUUAUCCGGAUUUACUGGGUGUAAAGGGUGCGUAGGUGGCAGGGCAAGUCAGAUGUGAAAGCCCGGGGCUCAACCCCGGUACUGCAUUUGAAACUGUCCAGCUGGAGUGCAGGAGAGGUAAGCGGAAUUCCUAGUGUAGCGGUGAAAUGCGUAGAUAUUAGGAGGAACACCAGUGGCGAAGGCGGCUUACUGGACUGUAACUGACACUGAGGCACGAAAGCGUGGGGAGCAAACAGGAUUAGAUACCCUAGUAC
RNAcentral lists this ribosomal RNA (447 nucleotides) under uncultured bacterium. Its description in RNAcentral is "bacterial SSU rRNA". It matches the Rfam family "Bacterial small subunit ribosomal RNA", at positions 329 to 793 of the family's 1533-position model. The record is from RNAcentral.